RNAcentral lists this ribosomal RNA (747 nucleotides) under Citrobacter freundii. RNAcentral describes it as "bacterial SSU rRNA". It matches the Rfam family "Bacterial small subunit ribosomal RNA", at positions 73 to 810 of the family's 1533-position model. Lineage: Bacteria; Pseudomonadati; Pseudomonadota; Gammaproteobacteria; Enterobacterales; Enterobacteriaceae. The record is from RNAcentral.
GAGGAGCUUGCUCCUUGGGUGACGAGUGGCGGACGGGUGAGUAAUGUCUGGGAAACUGCCCGAUGGAGGGGGAUAACUACUGGAAACGGUAGCUAAUACCGCAUAACGUCGCAAGACCAAAGAGGGGGACCUUCGGGCCUCUUGCCAUCGGAUGUGCCCAGAUGGGAUUAGCUAGUAGGUGGGGUAACGGCUCACCUAGGCGACGAUCCCUAGCUGGUCUGAGAGGAUGACCAGCCACACUGGAACUGAGACACGGUCCAGACUCCUACGGGAGGCAGCAGUGGGGAAUAUUGCACAAUGGGCGCAAGCCUGAUGCAGCCAUGCCGCGUGUAUGAAGAAGGCCUUCGGGUUGUAAAGUACUUUCAGCGAGGAGGAAGGCGUUGUGGUUAAUAACCGCAGCGAUUGACGUUACUCGCAGAAGAAGCACCGGCUAACUCCGUGCCAGCAGCCGCGGUAAUACGGAGGGUGCAAGCGUUAAUCGGAAUUACUGGGCGUAAAGCGCACGCAGGCGGUCUGUCAAGUCGGAUGUGAAAUCCCCGGGCUCAACCUGGGAACUGCAUCCGAAACUGGCAGGCUAGAGUCUUGUAGAGGGGGGUAGAAUUCCAGGUGUAGCGGUGAAAUGCGUAGAGAUCUGGAGGAAUACCGGUGGCGAAGGCGGCCCCCUGGACAAAGACUGACGCUCAUGUGCGAAAGCGUGGGGAGCAAACAGGAUUAGAUACCCCUGGUAGUUCCAUCGCCGUAAACGAU